AUCUCAUCUUUCGCGUUCUUCAUUCACUUUCAUUUGAAUUAACCCAGACUGAGGGUUGUCAUUUUUAGGUUUUCUCAUGGUCUGAAUUUAAAAUAACGGUUCGAUGCCACGUCGGCGGUAGAUAAAGGUUCAAUGACCGACGAUGCUAUGAUUGAACCGAUAUCAAGUUUCGCAUUUUAUAGGAACCUGUGAACUGAUAUGUUUUCGUUCAUUCACAGAGCCGGUUUUUGUGAUUACAUCUUAAUUUUCAAAACUGUUGUUUAAUUGAUUGAAAAAGUUGAAAGCCAGUGAUGAUGUAAAAUAUAAAAUGUUGGAAUUACCGACUGAUUUCAUUUUGAUGAUAACUAGGCUGCCUGAGGCUUUUUACUUUUCAAUCACAGUUUUUUAAUUUGUUCUUUGGUGGGGAAAGUUAUUUCAAAAUUUGAAUUACAGUCUGAUUUCACAGUUUUGAUAAAUCGGCCGUCUGAUUGUUCUGUUACAUUUUGAAGAUAAAAUUAAAAUAACCUUUAGCUCAACCAGGGUGGAAUGGUGGAUGAAACUUGCAGAUUAUGUAUGUAUGUGGAAGAGAGAUGUAGGAAUGGCUACUGUAAUAUAAUUCUAUAUUAGAGCAUAAACGCGUUUUACUAUGUGGAAGAGAGGUGUUCUAAGAAUCAGGUUUUACUUCACCGCACUGUCGUGCCUUUGGGCGAGUGUUCACGAGCUUCGGCCCUAGGUGAGGGUUUUCCCCUGUUCGGAGGCUGAGGCGAGUGUAUCCUGAUGUGGUGAAUUUCGCCAGUAGCACAUUUGGAGGAUUCAUUGGCCAUUCAAAAAAAACUAAUGAUAUACCCCUACUAGAGUGGACUUUUAGGUAGUGUUUGUUUCACGAAAUGGAAUGGAAUUUUGAUGGAAUUGGAAUGUUGAUUUCACUCCUUAUAUUGUUGGUUUCAACAAGAAAAUGAAUUGGAAUUGAACAACAAAAUAAGGAAGUGAAUCUACAUUCCAAUUUCAUCCAAAUUUCUUUCACUUUUGCAAAACAAACAAACCUAAAUUACAAAUCAAAUUUCAAUUUCUAGGAAUUCCCAUUCCAAUUCAUGAAACGAACUCUACAUCACGGGGUGUUUGGGAUUCCUUCUCAAAAACAACUUAUCAACUUAUAUAAGUCAUAAGCUAUAAUUUACAAAUACUAACUUCUCAUUUUUAACUUCUCAACACACAAAAACAACUUGAAUAAGCUAACCCAAAUACUAUAAAAACAUGUUAUUAACUUUUGUAAGUCAGCUUAUUAACACUAUGGAAACUACACUCGGCAUAAAGACUCAGGUGAAAAAGCAAACACUUGGCGUUUGGUUUGUUAAUAAUGGAGAUGGAAAGAGCAUUAGUAAGAGUGUCUUAAGACACCAAUGAGUGUGUUAUUAGUAAGGCGAGACUUAAAAUGAACAAUGGGCAUUUUGGGUGAUUAGAAUAUUCAGGGGAAUGUGAAACUAUUCAUGAAACUCGGAUUGAGUCGGGUUCUGUUAAAUGUUGACCCACAUACUUUAAUAACAGGUUUGAAGCCACGUUGCUGUUAACUAAAGUUGCAAUGCCAUGUCGCUCUUAUUUUUAUUCGUUUCGCAGUUUAUAUAGCUUUGAACUGGUAAAUUUCUCUUCAUUCACAGAGCCGGUUUUUGUGACUACAUUUUUUUAUUAUAGUUCAAACUGUUGUUUAAA
Long non-coding RNA from Helianthus annuus (common sunflower), 1686 nucleotides. RefSeq lists it as uncharacterized. The transcript has 2 exons. The record is from RefSeq and is a predicted model, not a curated record. NCBI's taxonomy places the organism in Eukaryota, Viridiplantae, Streptophyta, Magnoliopsida, Asterales, Asteraceae.